GAUUAUUGAUUUGAGCAAUAAAAUCUCAGAAUUUGUCUCCAUUCAGCUUAGAAAAUUUAUCUCUCCCCUAAAAUCCCCUCAAAAUCCCCCCAAUACACAUUGGUUUUAUCAGUUUAGUAUCAUAGCCUUCUGAACUCCCACCCUUCCAAUGUUUGAGAAUUCCCUUCUUUGUGUUUACUUCGAAGUUUUCCUUUGCCAUCUAAGUUGAUCUGCAUAGACCAGUUGAAACACUUGCGCCUUAUAGUCCAUUCUCUCUACAAAAGUUACAAAAUCCAUUCAUAGCACCUCCUGCCCCAGCAUACUCUCCAUUCAGUUAUGCUUUUGAACCAACACUUGUACCAUACAAUCCAUCACCAUCAUUCCACAAACCAGUGCCUCCUUUAGCACCUACCAGAUUUGAACCCAGCAGUCUAUCUUCCUCUGAUGAGUCUCUUCAGGUAGAGUAGCAAUUUCUACAAGAUUAUCUAUACGAGAUGAUAAAGUUCUUCUAAGGGGGGAAAGAGAGAGAAAGAGAAGAGGUGAGGUUUACUAUUUCUGUAGGGGUAGGUUGCUCAACUACUGUUUGUAUAGAUGGAGUUGGUGUUUGGCAAGCUAUUUUUAAGAAAGAUUUCUCCUUACUCGCCUUUGAAUAAUGUAUUAUACUUGUAUGUCCAGGCUCCGAUACCAAGUGGCUGGGAGCCCUCAGCCAUACAUACACGCAUAGCACUCA
RNAcentral lists this unclassified non-coding RNA (709 nucleotides) under Hevea brasiliensis (rubber tree). The record is from RNAcentral. Lineage: Eukaryota; Viridiplantae; Streptophyta; Magnoliopsida; Malpighiales; Euphorbiaceae.